RNAcentral lists this long non-coding RNA (939 nucleotides) under Mytilus galloprovincialis (Mediterranean mussel). The record is from RNAcentral. Lineage: Eukaryota; Metazoa; Mollusca; Bivalvia; Mytilida; Mytilidae.
AAGACCUGGAUGCUUCAUACUUUGUAUAUAGAUGCCUCAUGUUACGAAAUUUCUGUCAGUCACAUGUCCAAUGUCCUUGACCUCAUUUUCAUGGUUCAGUGACCACUUGAAAAAAAAAUUCAAUUUUUUUGUAAUGUUGAAUUCUCUCUUAUUAUAAGUAAUAGGAUAACUAUAUUUGAUAUGUGCGUACCUUGCAAGGUCCUCAUGUCUGUCAGACAGUUUUCACUUGACCUCAACCUCAUUUCAUGGAUCAGUGAACAAGGUUAAGUUUUGGUAGUCAAGUCCAUAUCUCAGAUACUAUAAGCAAUAGGGCUAGUAUAUUCGGUGUAUGGAAGGACUGUAAGGUGUACAUGUCCAACUGGCAUGUGUCAUCUGACCUUGACCUCAUUUUCAUGGUUCAGUGGUUAUAGUUAAAUUUUUGUGUUUUGGUCUGUUUUUCUCAUACUAUAUGCAAUAGGUCUACUAUAUUUGUUGUAUGGAAUGAUUGUAAGGUGUACAUGUCUAGCGGGCAGAUGUCAUGUGACCUUGACCUCAUUUUCAUGGUUCAGUGGUCAAAGUUAAGUUUUUGAGUUUUGGUCUUUUUAUCUUAUACUAUAUGCCAUAGGUCAACUAUUUUUGGUGUAUGGAAAUAUUUUAUGAUCUUUAUGUCAGUCGCGCAGGUUUUAUUUGAUCGUGACCUCAUUUUCACGGUUCAUUGCACAGAGUUAAGUUUUUGUGUUUUGGUCUAUUUUUCUUAAACUAUAAGUAAUAGGUCAACUAUAUAUGUUGUAUAGAAGCAUUGUUAGCUGUACAUGUCUGCCUGGCAUGGUUCAUCUGACCUUAACCUCAUUUUCAAGGUUCAUUGGUCUUUGUUUAGUUAUCUUGGUUAAUGUUGAGUUUAUGCGACAGUUGUUAUAAAGCUUAGAAGGCGAGACAUUUCAGCGUGUGCACUCUUGUUUC